GAUGAGGAACGCAGCGAAAUGCGAUACGUAGUGUGAAUUGCAGAAUUCAGUGAAUCAUCGAAUCUUUGAACGCACAUUGCACCUCUCGGUAUUCCGGGAGGUAUGCCUGUUCGAGCGUCAUUUGUACCCUCAAGCUCUGCUUGGUGUUGGGUGUUUGUUCCGCCUCUGUGUGUGAACUCGCCUCAAAACAAUUGGCAGCCGGCGUACUUGUUUCGGAGCGCAGCACAUUUUGCGAUCCAGAUCAACGUACAGCGGCAUCCAAGAAGCCUUAUUUAACGCUCUUGACCUCGGAUCAGGUAGGGAUACCCGCUGAACUUAAGCAUAUCAAUAAGCGGAGGA
This 339-nucleotide unclassified non-coding RNA is filed under the name soil metagenome. RNAcentral describes it as "partial contains 5.8S ribosomal RNA, internal transcribed spacer 2, and large subunit ribosomal RNA". The stretch from base 1 to 120 matches the Rfam family "5.8S ribosomal RNA", at positions 35 to 154 of the family's 154-position model. The record is from RNAcentral.